UACGGAGGGUGCAAGCGUUAAUCGGAAUUACUGGGCGUAAAGCGCACGUAGGUGGUUUGCUAAGACAGCUGUGAAAUCCCCGGGCUCAACCUGGGCACUGCAGUUGGAACUGGCAAGCUAGAGUAGGGUAGAGGGGUGUGGAAUUCCAGGUGUAGCGGUGAAAUGCGUAGAUAUCUGGAGGAACAUCAGUGGCGAAGGCGACACCCUGGACUCAUACUGACACUGAGGUGCGAAAGCGUGGGGAGCAAACAGG
This 253-nucleotide ribosomal RNA is filed under the name uncultured bacterium. Its description in RNAcentral is "partial 16S ribosomal RNA". It matches the Rfam family "Bacterial small subunit ribosomal RNA", at positions 524 to 776 of the family's 1533-position model. The record is from RNAcentral.